GGAAACGGGUGGUAAUGCUGGAUGCUCCAACUUGACGCAUGUCUUGUUGGGAAAGUGUUUAGUGGCAUGGGAUGGGGUCGCGUCCUAUCAGCUUGUAGGCGGGGUAAUGGCCCACCCAGGCUUCGACGGGUAGCCGGCCUGAGAGGGCGGACGGCCACAUUGGGACUGAGAUACGGCCCAGACUCCUACGGGAGGCAGCAGCG
Molecule: ribosomal RNA, 203 nt
Filed under: uncultured Gardnerella sp.
Lineage: Bacteria; Bacillati; Actinomycetota; Actinomycetes; Bifidobacteriales; Bifidobacteriaceae
Description: partial 16S ribosomal RNA
Rfam family: Bacterial small subunit ribosomal RNA
Source: RNAcentral